RNAcentral lists this ribosomal RNA (408 nucleotides) under uncultured bacterium. RNAcentral's name for it is "partial 16S ribosomal RNA". It matches the Rfam family "Bacterial small subunit ribosomal RNA", at positions 28 to 526 of the family's 1533-position model. The record is from RNAcentral.
GACGAACGCUGGCGGCGUGCUUAACACAUGCAAGUCGAACGAAGUGGCGAACGGGUGAGUACUACGUGGGGAACCUGCCCUCCUUUUUGGGAUAAGCCUUGGAAACGGGGUGUAAUACCGAAUAAGGGGGGAUGGGGUCGCGGACUAUCAGCUUGUUGGUGGGGUGAUGGACUACCAAGGCGGUGCCGGGUAGCGCGGCUGAGAGGGUGACCGGCCACAUUGGGACGGAGAUACGGCCCAGACUCCUACGGGAUGCAGCAGUGGGGGAUAUUGCACAAUGGGCGAAAUCCUGAUGCAGCGACGCCGCGUGGGGGAUUAAGGCUUUCGGGUUGUAAACCUCGUUCGCUAUCGAGCGGGUAGGUGGAGAAGAAGCGCCGGCUAACUACGUGCCAGCAGCCGCGGUAAUAC